UACAGAGGUGGCAAGCGUUGUUCGGAAUUACUGGGCGUAAAGGGCGCGUAGGUGGUCUCGAAAGUCCCGUGUGAAAUCCCUCGGCUCAACUGAGGAACUGCACGGGAAACUGCGAGGCUUGAGUUCGGGAGAGGGACGCGGAAUUCCGGGUGUAGCGGUGAAAUGCGCAGAUAUCCGGAGGAACACCGGAGGCGAAGGCGGCGUCCUGGACCGACACUGACACUGAGGCGCGAAAGCUAGGGGAGCAAAC
This 250-nucleotide ribosomal RNA is filed under the name uncultured bacterium. RNAcentral describes it as "partial 16S ribosomal RNA". It matches the Rfam family "Bacterial small subunit ribosomal RNA", at positions 524 to 773 of the family's 1533-position model. The record is from RNAcentral.